This 522-nucleotide ribosomal RNA is filed under the name uncultured bacterium. Its description in RNAcentral is "bacterial SSU rRNA". It matches the Rfam family "Bacterial small subunit ribosomal RNA", at positions 988 to 1509 of the family's 1533-position model. The record is from RNAcentral.
CCAGAGAAUUUAGCAGAGAUGCUUUAGUGCCUUCGGGAACUCUGAGACAGGUGCUGCAUGGCUGUCGUCAGCUCGUGUUGUGAAAUGUUGGGUUAAGUCCCGCAACGAGCGCAGCCCUUAUCCUUUGUUGCCAGCACGUAAUGGUGGGAACUCAAAGGAGACUGCCGGUGAUAAACCGGAGGAAGGUGGGGAUGACGUCAAGUCAUCAUGGCCCUUACGAGUAGGGCUACACACGUGCUACAAUGGCGCAUACAAAGAGAAGCGACCUCGCGAGAGCAAGCGGACCUCAUAAAGUGCGUCGUAGUCCGGAUUGGAGUCUGCAACUCGACUCCAUGAAGUCGGAAUCGCUAGUAAUCGUAAAUCAGAAUGUUACGGUGAAUACGUUCCCGGGCCUUGUACACACCGCCCGUCACACCAUGGGAGUGGGUUGCAAAAGAAGUAGAUAGCUUAACCUUCGGGAGGGCGUUUACCACUUUGUGAUUCAUGACUGGGGUGAAGUCGUAACAAGGUAAGCGUAGUGCU